GACGAACGCUGGCGGCGUGCUUAAUACAUGCAAGUCGAGCGAGGCCUUGGAAUUGGAGUCCUUCGGGAUGAAGAGUCCUUGGCCUAGCGGCGGACGGGUGAGUAACGCGUGGGCAACCUACCCCAAAGUCCGGGAUAACAGUGGGAAACCGCUGCUAAUACCGGAUGGCUUUACCUGAGGGCAUCCUCGGGUAAAGAAAGGUUACGCUUUGGGAUGGGCCCGCGUCCCAUUAGCUAGUUGGUGAGGUAACGGCUCACCAAGGCGACGAUGGGUAGCCGGCCUGAGAGGGUGAACGGCCACACUGGGACUGAGACACGGCCCAGACUCCUACGGGAGGCAGCAGUAGGGAAUAUUGCGCAAUGGGCGAAAGCCUGACGCAGCAACGCCGCGUGAGGGGAUGACGGCCUUCGGGUUGUAAACCGUCUGUUGAGUGGGAAAAAAGGGUAGACAAUAACUUUGAAUGGUACCAUUCGAAGUAAGCACCGGCUAACUACGUGCCAGCAAGCCGCGGUAAUCAUACUCGUA
Molecule: ribosomal RNA, 525 nt
Filed under: uncultured bacterium
Lineage: Bacteria
Description: bacterial SSU rRNA
Rfam family: Bacterial small subunit ribosomal RNA
Source: RNAcentral